Molecule: ribosomal RNA, 450 nt
Filed under: uncultured bacterium
Lineage: Bacteria
Description: partial 16S ribosomal RNA
Rfam family: Bacterial small subunit ribosomal RNA
Source: RNAcentral
GUGGGGAAUCUUCCGCAAUGGACGAAAGUCUGACGGAGCAACGCCGCGUGAGUGAAGAAGGUUUUCGGAUCGUAAAGCUCUUUCGUUAGGGACGAACGUGCUCUUUGUGAAUAAUGAGGAGUAAUGACGGUACCUAAAUAAGAAGCCACGGCUAACUACGUGCCAGCAGCCGCGGUAAUACGUAGGUGGCAAGCGUUGUCCGGAAUUAUUGGGCGUAAAGCGCGCGCAGGCGGGAUAUCAAGUCUGUCUUCAAAGUGCGAGGCUCAACCUCGUGAGGGGACAGAAACUGGUAUUCUUGAGUGUCGGAGAGGAAAGUGGAAUUCCAAGUGUAGCGGUGAAAUGCGUAGAGAUUUGGAAGAACACCAGUGGCGAAGGCGACUUUCCGGACGAUGUCUGACGCUGAGGCGCGAAAGCUAGGGGAGCGAACGGGAUUAGAAACCCUAGUAGUCC